RNAcentral lists this ribosomal RNA (500 nucleotides) under Fusarium sp. C12 MLB-2013. RNAcentral's name for it is "eukaryotic LSU rRNA". The stretch from base 137 to 290 matches the Rfam family "5.8S ribosomal RNA". The record is from RNAcentral. Lineage: Eukaryota; Fungi; Ascomycota; Sordariomycetes; Hypocreales; Nectriaceae. RNAcentral also lists the same sequence under 1 other name.
UGUGACAUACCUAUAAUUUGCCUCGGCGGACUCAACGACGGUGCUCCGAGAAAUCGGGCGCCGCUCGCUGCCAGAGGAACCCCAAACUCUAUGUAUUCUUGUGGAUCUUCUGAGUAAAACAAAACAAAUAAAUCAAAACUUUCAACAACGGAUCUCUUGGUUCUGGCAUCGAUGAAGAACGCAGCGAAAUGCGAUAAGUAAUGUGAAUUGCAGAAUUCAGUGAAUCAUCGAAUCUUUGAACGCACAUUGCGCCCGCCAGUAUUCUGGCGGGCAUGCCUGUUCGAGCGUCAUUUCAACCCUCAAGCCCCCGGGCUUGGUGUUGGGGAUCGGCGAUAGUCGCCGUCCCCCAAAUCUAGUGGCGGUCUCGCUGUAGCCUCCAUUGCGUAGUAGCUAACACCUCGCAACUGGAACGCGGCGCGGCCAAGCCGUUAAACCCCCAACUUCUGAAUGUUGACCUCGGAUCAGGUAGGAAUACCCGCUGAACUUAAGCAUAUCAAUAG